This 497-nucleotide ribosomal RNA is filed under the name uncultured bacterium. RNAcentral's name for it is "partial 16S ribosomal RNA". It matches the Rfam family "Bacterial small subunit ribosomal RNA", at positions 28 to 507 of the family's 1533-position model. The record is from RNAcentral.
GAUGAACGCUGGCGGCGUGCCUAAUACAUGCAAGUCGAGCGAACGGACGAGAAGCUUGCUUUUCUGAUGUUAGCGGCGGACGGGUGAGUAACACGUGGAUAACCUACCUAUAAGACUGGGAUAACUUCGGGAAACCGGAGCUAAUACCGGAUAAUAUUUUGAACCGCAUGGUUCAAAAGUGAAAGACGGUCUUGCUGUCACUUAUAGAUGGAUCCGCGCUGCAUUAGCUAGUUGGUAAGGUAACGGCUUACCAAGGCAACGAUGCAUAGCCGACCUGAGAGGGUGAUAGGCCACACUGGAGCUGAGACGCGGUCCAGGCGCCUACGGGAGGCAGCAGUAGGGAAUCGUCCGCAAUGGGCGGAAGCCUUGCGGAGCAACGCCGCGUGAGUGAUGAAGGUCUUCGGAUCGUAAAACUCUGUUAUUAGGGAAGAACAUAUGUGUAAGUAACUGUGAACAUCUUGACGGUAACUGAUCAGAAAGCCACGGCUAACUACGUG